GUGUGUAACUAACCAGUAAGACUGUGGGGGAUAAGCUCCAUUGUCAAGAGGGAAACAGCCCAGACCACCAGCUAAGGCCCCUAAAUGAUUACUAAGUGAUAAAGGAUGUGGGAAUGCUGAGACAAUCAGGAGGUUCGCCUAGAAGCAGCUAUCCUUUAAAGAGUGCGUAAUAGCUCACUGAUCAAGCGCACCUGCGCCGAAAAUGAACGGGGCUAAGUAAUCUGCCGAAGCUGUGGGAUCUUUUAGAUCGGUAGGGGAGCGUUCCACAAUAGAUUGAAGCAUUAGCGUAAGCGGAUGUGGACGAAGUGGAAGUGAGAAUGUCGGCUUGAGUAGCGAAAACAUUGGUGAGAAUCCAAUGCCCCGAAAACCUAAGGUUUCCUCCGGAAGGCUCGUCCGCGGAGGGUGAGUCAGGACCUAAGGCGAGGCCGAAAGGCGUAGCUAAUGGACAACGGGUUAAUAUUCCCGUACCAUCUAUUGCUGAUAUCGAGGGACGGAGAAGGCUAGACCAGCCGGAUGUUGGUUACCGGUUUAAGCGUUAAAGGUGUUGAAGAGCGGCGAAAACGCUCUGAGCUAAGGCGUGAAUACGAAAUACCAAGGUAUUGAAGUGGUUGAUGUCAUACUUCCAAGAAAAGCUCGGAAUAUCAUAAGUUAUAGAUGCCUGUACCCGAAACCGACACAGGUAGGUAGGUAGAGCAUACCAAGGGGCGCGAGAUAACUCUCUCUAAGGAACUCGGCAAAAUUACCUCGUAACUUCGGAAGAAGAGGUACCCUCGCGAGAGGGUUGCAAUAAAUAGACCCUGGCGACUGUUUACCAAAAACACAGGUCUCCGCUAAUUCGUAAGAAAAAGUAUGGGGGCUGACGCCUGCCCAGUGCCGGAAGGUUAAAGAAGUUGGUUAGUCUUCGGACGAAGCUAGCGACUGAAGCCCCGGUGAACGGCGGCCGUAACUAUAACGGUCCUAAGGUAGCGAAAUUCCUUGUCGGGUAAGUUCCGACCCGCACGAAAGGCGUAACGAUCAGGGUACUGUCUCGGAGAGAGGCUCGGCGAAAUAGACAUGUCUGUGAAGAUGCGGACUACCUGCACCUGGACAGAAAGACCCUAUGAAGCUUUACUGUAUCUUGGAAUUGGGUUUGGUCUUUACUUGCGCAGGAUAGGUGGGAGGCUUUGAAGAUGAUCUUGCGGGAUCGUUGGAGCCACUGGUGAGAUACCACUCUUGUGAUGAUAAAAUCCUAACUUUGGCCCGUUGUCCGGUCAGAGAACAGGUUCAGGUAGGCAGUUUGACUGGGGCGGUCGCCUACUAAAAGGUAACGGGGGCAUGCAAAGG
RNAcentral lists this ribosomal RNA (1323 nucleotides) under seawater metagenome. RNAcentral describes it as "bacterial LSU rRNA". It matches the Rfam family "Bacterial large subunit ribosomal RNA", at positions 968 to 2316 of the family's 2925-position model. The record is from RNAcentral.